This 253-nucleotide ribosomal RNA is filed under the name uncultured bacterium. Its description in RNAcentral is "partial 16S ribosomal RNA". It matches the Rfam family "Bacterial small subunit ribosomal RNA", at positions 524 to 776 of the family's 1533-position model. The record is from RNAcentral.
UACGAAGGGGGCUAGCGUUGCUCGGAAUGACUGGGCGUAAAGGGCGCGUAGGCGGCUCAUACAGUCAGAUGUGAAAUUCCUGGGCUUAACCUGGGGGCUGCAUUUGAUAUGUGUGGGCUUGAGUGGGGAAGAGGGUCGUGGAAUUCCCAGUGUAGAGGUGAAAUUCGUAGAUAUUGGGAAGAACACCGGUGGCGAAGGCGGCGACCUGGUCCUUGACUGACGCUGAGGCGCGAAAGCGUGGGGAGCAAACAGG